Neodiprion virginianus is the source of this 441-nucleotide long non-coding RNA. RefSeq lists it as uncharacterized. The record is from RefSeq and is a predicted model, not a curated record. The transcript is spliced from 3 exons. Lineage: Eukaryota; Metazoa; Arthropoda; Insecta; Hymenoptera; Diprionidae.
GGAUCCAGGAGUCCCAGUCUCUCUAAUUCUGCUCUACGAAGGACGACAAAUACUGUAGCAAGAAUGGGUUAUCGGGAGAGGUCCGAGAAUGUCCAUCGCUAUCCUUUCAAAUGGAGCUCCCACGUUGUAAAUUUGAAGAGAGCUUUGUCCCUUCGCUCGAGGUCCUUUGUUUGCCGUGCAGAUUCGACAUCUUCGACACCAAUCUUCAACGUCCAUCCGGCAACGGGGCCAAAAGUAGAAGUUGCGAAUUCUGCCCAGAGUUUUAUUUGAAGCGAAGUGUCCGCCUGCAGGAGAAUCAUGAUAAAGAGCAAGAAUCUCCGGAACUCGUGUCCUGGGAACCGAAAGUUGCCACCUGAUUUCUUUCAAGUCUGCAGAUUCUCAUUUUCGGGUCUUCGAGAGAGAGCAUCGGCGUUUCCAUGAUGAAUUCCUGCUCGAUGACGA